CAGCCGCUGCGGUAAUACGUAGGGUGCGAGCGUUAAUCGGAUUUACUGGGCGUAAAGCGUGCGCAGGCGGCCCGUUAAGACAGGUGUGAAAUCCCUGGGCUCAACCUAGGAAUUGCGCUUGUGACUGGCGGGCUCGAGUACGGUAGAGGGGGGUGGAAUUCCUGGUGUAGCAGUGAAAUGCGUAGAGAUCAGGAGGAACACCGAUGGCGAAGGCAGCCCCCUGGGCCUGUACUGACGCUCAUGCACGAAAGCGUGGGGAGCAAACAGGAUUAGAUACCCUGGUAGUCCACGCCCUAAACGAUGGGUACUAGCCGUUUGGUGCGCGAUAGCGCUGAGUGGCGAAGCUAACGCGUGAAGUACCCCGCCUGGGGAGUACGGCCGCAAGGUUGAAACUUAAAGGAAUUGGCGGG
RNAcentral lists this ribosomal RNA (410 nucleotides) under uncultured microorganism. Its description in RNAcentral is "bacterial SSU rRNA". It matches the Rfam family "Bacterial small subunit ribosomal RNA", at positions 509 to 917 of the family's 1533-position model. The record is from RNAcentral.